This 7776-nucleotide long non-coding RNA is filed under the name Gallus gallus (chicken). Lineage: Eukaryota; Metazoa; Chordata; Aves; Galliformes; Phasianidae. The record is from RNAcentral.
GUCAAAGCAAAAGGAUGUGGAAGGGAGCCUUUAACCACUGCUUGCCGAUGACUUCCAUCGAGAUUUGACUUGUGGAUGAAAUUCAGUUUAGCAUCUGCCCAAUAAAGUUUCUGUUCCUCAUAAUCCAAUGUCAGUCCAUUUGGCCAAUAAAUGUCCGUGUUGACUAUAAUGGAGCGGCUUGAACCAUCCAUCCCAGCACGUUCUAUCUUUGGCACUUCUCCCCAGUCUGUCCAAUACAUGAACCCUCUUGCAGGAUCUAAGGCAAUUGCUCUGGGUUGAUCCAAUUCUUGCCAAAAUAAAACUUUUCUCAAUGAUCCAUCUAAAUUCGAAACUUCAAUCCGAUUUGUUUCAGAAUCUGUCCAAUAUAAUUUCUCUCCCAGCCAGUCACAUGCCAGCCCAUCAGGUGACAAAAGUCCAGAAAUGACCACAUUUUGUACACUCCCGGAUUUAUUGAAUUCUGUUCGUUUAAUGGCUUCUUCACUCACGUCGCUCCAGUAUAUCAACCCCUUCACGAACACAAAGUCCACUGCCGCUGCAUCUUCGAGGCCACCCACGAUUACUGUGGCAUUCUCCUUCCCGUUGGCAGCAUCCACCAGCCUCAGGUCACGGCGGUUUGCAUACAGCAACAGUGGGGCAGCUCGCAUCAGGGAACAAAAACUGCAGGCGAGCAGGCUCCGCAGGACGGCCCCCAUCUUCCCUCGCUCCGCGCUCUCACCGGCGGGGCGGCGGCGAGGAGCAGUCCCUCCGCUGCCACUUCAUGCUGCCCGGCGGGCGGGGAGGCGAGGAGGAGGGCCGGGCAGCGGCGAAGGGCGGCCGCCGAGCCCCCCUAGCAGGCCGCUGGCCCCGCCGCGCCGCAGCGGCACCGAGCGCUCCCCUGCAUGCCGGCCUCCGCGUCGCUGCCGCGGCCGCUCGCCAUCCACUCUCCGCUCCCUCGCUCGCCCGGCCUCCGCCUCCGCCGGGCGCGCACAGGCGCAGGGAUACAGCCCUCCUCCUUCUCUCCUCCUCCUCCUCCCCCGGCCCGGCCUGGCCCCCGCCCCGCGCCGCGCCCGCCCGCCCGGCUCCGCGCUCCCGCCGCACCGCCCGCCUUCUCAGGCUGGGAGCGAGCGGGCGGGCAGAGGGCGGCGCGCACGCAAACGGCGGCGGGCGGGCGAGCGCCUCGCGGCCCGGCGGGCAGCUCCGCCUCGGGCGGGGCGCGGGGCGAGGGCGGGCGCGCGCGGCCCACGGGCGCCCGUGGGCAGGGCGAGGGGUCGGACGGGGGGAGCCGGCCGCCGCCGUCGCAUUCCAGCGGGACUAUUUCCCGCGUUGUUUCGCACGCACGCCUCCGCCGCCUUUUUGGGUGCGAUGCGGUUGUCGGAGCAACACCGGCCCGGGAGGGACGGGACUACUUUCAGUCACAGAGCGGUGGCGGCUGCACAAAGGCGGCCGCUCCCCUUCGCCCGCAGGUGAGGGCUGCCCGGCCGCGCUCCCCCUCCGUCCCUUUCGGCCGCUGCACGGCGGCGGUUCCCGAGUGAAGGGCGGGCUGCGGCGCCACAGCCUUUCCACGGGAGUUUCUGCGGAGCUGCCCCGUGGGCAAAGCUACUUCAGUAUUUCUGCGAGGAACGUCACAUCUCACGGGGCGUCCCUCCUCUCCUCCCGCAACGUGACAGCUGUUCCGAGGGAUGAGGCAGCGAGGCAGAGCGACUUAAAGCAAAAUUUGAGAUCCUCGCGUGCAGAAGUCUGUAUUACUUUCAGGGUUAUUAGAAACUUAUGGAAACAUUUAACUUUUAAUUUCGUAUCUGUUGAACAUAUAUUUUCAUAGCUUUUCUUGUGAUUACAGUAGGAGAUAACAUCUGGGCCAGAUUAAAGGCCCAGGCAUUGCAGACCGGCUCUGACAUCAGACUCCAGCAGUCAUGUGAUGAUAUCAGACUUUCAGAUUCUACUGGGGAGAAACCGCAAGUCAAAACUUUGUAGAGAAAGAAGUAUACCUCCAACUUUAAAAGUUGUUUAAGAAAGGGGGGGGGGGGGGAGGGAAUCUUGAAAAAGUAAACAGCUCAACAGCAAGAGCUGCCUGAGGGCAGGUCUGCAUUCAAAUAUGUCUUUGACUCCACCGGGUGGAACAACCUCCUCUGUUGUUGCCAUGUCAGCUAGGAGGAUAAGCAAACUCAAGCAAGAUCCACAGUGGUGGUGGAGGGGAAGGGCUUCCCAUGAGAAAACGUACCAGAGAGUGGAUAAACCUUAGCAUACCCUUGCUGUCACAACUGGAUUUUGUGGGAACAGACAGAAGCAGCACAGCAUUCUAUUUAUUUUCACUGAGCAAUUGGAAUCAAAGAAAACAGUAACUCACAACGUUGUAUGAUCAGUGAUUAACCUCUUGUGAAGUAUUGCAAGUCCAUAAUGAAUUCUUCCUAUCUUAAUAACACGAUGCACAGCUGAGAGAAAGCUCAAGCCUGAACCCUCGAAUGUCACAUUUCUCUAUGUGCUGUUCCCUCUUGCAUCUUGUGUUCUUUUUUCUUUUGCUGGAAACACAAUGGUGUCUUGACUAUCUCCCUCGGAAGCCGGAUCCCCUGCCUGUUGGCUCUCGCAUCUUCCCCACCAUCCCAUCUGACUGGCUUUAUUUUUAGCUUACAAACAUUACAUGCUGUCACCCGUCACGAAUUUGACCAUUUUUCUAUACUUCAAGACCUUUCCUUUCCUGAUUGGAUUUCCUCUAAGUCACUGAGUGAUUAGUGACUUCACUUAUGUAUCCCCUUUUCUCCAUCUGCUUCUUAGAGACAGUCCUCUCCCUACUCAAGCCUACGUAGCCUUUUUAAAAACAGUUUUCCAUUCAAUGCUUAGGAUUCAGGACCAAACCCAUGUUGUAUCUGUUUCUCAGCUUUAUUUCUAAUUCAUACAGACAGCAGGGACUCAGCUGUAGAGGUUUUUACGAAGUAAACCAGAUUACCUCACACAGAAAAGAUUCUGACAGCCAGGGCUCCUCUGAAAUACUUACAUUCUUUCAUUUGAUCUUAAAGUUAAGGUGAAGGAAAUAGGAAUGCAGAGGGAACGUUUCUUCUAUUGCAGUAGGAAGCUCCUCAUGUUGGUUACAAUUAUUUUUAUUAAUCUUAUGAGUGGAAGUAUUCAUUUGCUCGUUCAAAUCCAGUCAGAGACUUUGGCUGUCAAGAAAUCUGUACAAUCUUAUUCUUACCUCUGGACUCGGAUGGUGAUUCGAUGAUACAGGAGCUUUCACAAGAAUUUCAUUAUACUCAGGUUAGUUCCCUGGUUUGGUUCAUAAUACGGCUUCACAAGCAUUUUUGUCAACUCAGAGGACAGCCGGGGUGGCAACUGGACCUCCUAAAACCAGUAGUAACUGCUCAAGUCUCUGUAUCUUUGAACAGUGCCCUGUGUUGCAGUGAAGUCGGUGGGAUCCUUUGUAGAAUGGGGACUGAAGUCCCUAAUGAACAAAAGCUGUUAGCAGAAGAUAGCUGCGCAGCAAAUGAAUUUGUGGCUGCCCACAUCACAGAAACCACUAUCAUAAUUAGCUCCCUUGCUGAAUGUCUCAACAAGAGUUAAUGGGCAUGGCAUGGUGAAAUCCUGGUCCCUCUGAAGUCAAUGGUAAAACUCUCACCAACAUCAAAAGGGUCACGUUUCAUACUGAAACUCUAGCUCAAGUCCUCUCUUGCAUCCAUAAGGAAAGAUUGCAGCAAAGUAGCAUAGGAGAUGGGAUGUGAAGUAGUGAUGACUUCAUCAGUGAUGUCUGUUACAACAAUUUCACGGGUAAAAUAAGACACCCUACUCCACAAAUCAUCACCUUGCUACUUUGCCUAGGUUGUACUGUUGGUACUCAUAAAAACCUUCAUCCACUUCUUUUCCAAAACAGAAUCAGCUCUAAGAAAUUUGACAGGUGCACCUUACAAGAUUUAUCCUGUUCCAAGAGAGCAAUGGAGCCAUAAUGUUCCUUCUUUAAAGAAUAGAAUACUAGAUCAUCUAUCCCUUCUUAAAAAUCAGUAAUAAGCAGACAUAUUUUUCCUUCACUUUUACUAUUAAAAGUAAAGCCACAUUAACUGCGUCUUUUCAACAAGACUUAGGCAGCUUAUGAGCGGAUUUCCUUGGACUGAUAGCCAUUUCUCUAUUCCAGAAAUUUUCUCCAGGGUGGAAGAUCUCAGUUAUCUUCAGUUACUAUCUGUAGGGUUCCCCACAGUCUGUCAAACCAUCGCAAUAGCUAGCAUUCCUGCUAUUUUCCCACUGAUCAGUCAAGUCCUCUCCCCACCCCCCCCUUUUUUUAAUCAUAUAAGGAGUUGCCUCUUCUCCUUGCUUUUCAGUUCUACCUUAUUUUUUUCUCCAUUAAGUGUAAUACCCAUUCCUUUUCUACCAUCUCCUCUUUUAGAAGAUGCUGCCUGGUGUCCAGGAUGAGAACUGCAUUUCUUUGUGGCUGAAAAAAUCCUUACAACAAAAACUUCACAGAGAAGGUCCUGGAGUUCAGCAGAGCAUAGGGGAGAGUUUGGACUCCUGCUGAUGGUGUAUCCAAGAUCAGGCUGUUUAUCUACUGCUUCUUUUCUCCUCUUCCAUCUCCCAGGGAGUUGAAAACAACACUGCCUCAGGAUAUGCUUCUUCAGCUGUAGUACUUUCAGCGUGAACUGUAUAGGAUUCUGAUUUUAAUUUGGCACUGCCCACCAGGCCACAGGGCAAGUCCAGUACUUUCCUUAUGAAAGCCACAUAGCCGUGGCUGUAUUUCAAAGCUAAAUUAUAAAAAGUCAUUUUAGAAAGUUUGAGUGCUAAAAUUUGUAAAGACCUGUAAUGCUAGGUUGAUACAGCUAAAACAUCCUUUCAAAAGAGAUUGCGUUUCAGACUGACAGAUACCAAAACACUAUUUUAUUUUAGUUUGCAAAGAUUUUCAAAAACAGACAGCAUCUGGGUUCUAUUAACAACAACAUGCAUGCAUUUUAAACAACAACAAUUUAAGAAUACUUCAUUUUCAGAACACUUUCAUGGAGCUCAGCAUUUUGCCGUAUGCAUUCAUAGGAUUUACCAAUUAUGCUUUGCCUUUGAAGUUUAAAAAUUAGUUACUGGUAAAGGAUUGUACAUUUGUUCACACUAUUUUAGUCAUAGGGAUAAAUUACUAGAAUGUAUGCCUUAUUAUGGUCAAGAAAGGUAAGUUACAGUAAUUAGCAAUUGUUCAUACAACACUUCAGUCUUUGUGUAAUAUACACAUUGUGACACACCAUCUGUGCACAGGAAAGAGCUCAUUUGCAAUUUGAAGUAGCUUCCUCUGAGCUAAAGUGCAGUAACAAGGAUGCACAUGGGAAAGCUGCAGUUCGUGAUAGCAAAAGAGAGUCGCCCUUCUGCAGAUCAAACUCUGGGGAGAAGAUUUAUGAUUAUGUUUAUUUACGUCUAUAUUUUUCUAGAUUUAUAUUUAUUUAGCCUGCAAUUCAGUCAAGACACCUAGCACCUCAAGAAAAUGGUUAUGUAUCCUUAACUGUGAUAACACUUCAGGGGGGUUGUUUUUAUUAGCUGUUAAAGAAGUUCUCAAACUGUUCCAGAAAAGCAGGAUGAGUGACUUGCACGCUUCCUUAGAGCAGAGAAGAGUGCCCUCUGAUGGCUAACCUUUUAGGUUUAAUAUCUACGAUGUUCAUGUCAACCUCCAUUUAUUAAAUUCAAAAAGCAAAAUCACAAAAAUGCAAGAUGCUGCAGCGUGUCAUUAUUUCAAGAAAAAGAAAUUAUCUGGAUUUAUUUAUAGAUAACAGUUAAAAAGAGGGGUGGAGGUAUAUUCUUAAUUUUUUCAUUAAAUUAAUAUUAGCCAGUUUUUCUAAGAGCAAAAUUAAUGCAUUUGAUAGUUCAGAACUGUUACCUGUAUGUACUCUUUUAUCUAAGUUUUAUUUUACUGCGAUAAACUUGCUUUAAGGCUUGGAACAGUAGCAUGUAGAACGUGUACAAGUCCCUAAGUCCUCAGUUUAUUUCAGAACAAUAAAAGUGUUUGUGAAUGCCCUAAGGCAUGACACCACUCUUCAGUGAGUGAACUUGCUUUUAAUUCUUUCUUCGUUCAGAUCUUGAACUCAAAUAUUAGCAAUGCUGAUAACAGUUGUUAUUAGUCCUUGCUCACUUUUCAAAGCAUGAAAUCCAAGGAUAACUGUCAGCGGCUGAUUCUACCCAUUUUAAACAUGCCUUUCCCAGUAAUUUCAAGACAGCUAGAGAAUUUCUGGUUUAUUAGAAUCAUAUUGAUCUGUAAAUCAGAGAUACAGGAUUUGAGGGGAAUGGCCGAAGUGAAAACCAAAUUCCAAAUUCUCUCAUUUACCCCACUGUCAACUGGCAGCAGCACUAAGUACUGUAAAGGUAAACAUGUAUGUCUCCACAAAAGGUAUUUGAAAUACAGGCCCAGAACAGCAGAAAGCCCUGCACACAUUACCCCUUGGCAUUGGCUAAAAACAUCACAUUGAUUUAAUUGCCCGUUAGAAUAGGAAUGAGUGUGGGUCCUCAAAACUGUCUGGUUCUGUAUAUAAAGAUUUUUGUGUCUUAAGGCCUGUAGCUCAAUCUUCAUGUGAUGACAGGAUAGAAGAGGCAAUUAUAUAUGGCUAAAGUCUCAUUUGCUGCUUUUCCAUAGUUCUUCAAAUAACUUCCUUACAGCAUGGACUUGCAUAAAGCUGAUGUCAAAUAGUUGUCAGCUAUUUAUAAGCUGACAACUAAAUGUAGAUAUGUGACAAAGGAAAGCACAGAGAAAGAUACGUGCCUCAAAUAUACUUAUUAAAACAGUUGCACCCGCCAUAAAGAUAUUACUAAAGAAUCUUCAUACUCAGUUAUGAAUUAAAUUGAUUCUGUUUUCUCUUCUCAUAAAAAAAAAAUGAAGCUAUCCAACCAAUUCCUUUUCCUUUACUAUUCCCUCACCUCUCCAACCAACCCCACAGUUACAGUAUUUGGUCAUGUAGAUCUUUGAAUAAAAGACAGCAAAUUGUGUUUGCAUAGGCCUGACACAUAAAGCUCCUUCCAGUGCCUUUUUUGGUGUCAGAGCUUUGCAGUUAAUGCAACUUGUACUAAUUUUUCCUUACCACAAUUGUGAAUACCUUUAGAAUGAUAUUAAAAGGGCUUAUACAGAAUAAAAUCCCCAUUUAAUCUUGGCAUAUUAAGAAAUCUUUUCUUUGAACAUUAUGUAUAAAAUGCUAUUUUUCCCCAAAACACUUUUUUUUUUUUUUUAAUAUGAAAAGCUUGAGGAGUGGUAAGAACCAACAGUUUAGAGCACUAUCUACACUUGUGGUUUAGGAACCUUGGCAGAGGAAAUGUUAGUGAGAAUGUACAUGUGCUUCUCAUGGAAUUCCGUGGCAAUAAAUCGUGAACCCAAUGUACCAAAAGGUGUCCUGGUCACUGUGUUAAAAAACAAACAAACAAACAAACCAACAAAAAAAAAAAAAACAGUGGGAACCAAAGACCCAAACUGCUUAAGAAUAGGAGAAAAAAUGUUCGCAGAGCAUUGUGCAUACCAGUUAUUUAGUUACUGCUUCCACUUCAUCUACCACCCGUUACUUCUCACAUACUAUAGCUAUUAUGAAACAGCAAGGUUUGAGUAAACUGCACUACCUCUCUGUUUACACAGUACACAGUGAUCACAAGCAGAAGAGAUACAGCUAUUCAUCUCAUUUAUUGCCCCAGUAGCUCUCCUAGUUUCUGCACACAAAAUGUUGAGUACUCAGCUGUGUACCUGACAGGUUUUUUUUGAAUGUUCUUUUCAACAGAAAUAUGCUAUGAUUUAUACCUGUAUUAAGACCAAGUAUUUGAGAUACCUGCUUGUAACAUAGCUGGAACACUUGUAAUGGCUCUUUAAGACAAAUAAAG